This 429-nucleotide ribosomal RNA is filed under the name Chloroflexota bacterium. RNAcentral's name for it is "Chloroflexi bacterium partial 16S ribosomal RNA". It matches the Rfam family "Bacterial small subunit ribosomal RNA", at positions 355 to 776 of the family's 1533-position model. The record is from RNAcentral. Lineage: Bacteria; Bacillati; Chloroflexota.
UGGGGAAUAUUGCACAAUGGGCGCAAGCCUGAUGCAGCCAUGCCGCGUGUGUGAAGAAGGCCUUCGGGUUGUAAAGCACUUUCAGCGGGGAGGAAGGCGAUAAGGUUAAUAACCUUGUCGAUUGACGUUACCCGCAGAAGAAGCACCGGCUAACUCCGUGCCAGCAGCCGCGGUAAUACGGAGGGUGCAAGCGUUAAUCGGAAUUACUGGGCGUAAAGCGCACGCAGGCGGUUGAUUGAGUCAGAUGUGAAAUCCCCGGGCUUAACCCGGGAAUUGCAUCUGAUACUGGUCAGCUAGAGUCUUGUAGAGGGGGGUAGAAUUCCAUGUGUAGCGGUGAAAUGCGUAGAGAUGUGGAGGAAUACCGGUGGCGAGGGCGGCCCCCUGGACAAAGACUGACGCUCAGGUGCGAAAGCGUGGGGAGCAAACAGG